Molecule: long non-coding RNA, 425 nt
Filed under: Equus caballus (horse)
Lineage: Eukaryota; Metazoa; Chordata; Mammalia; Perissodactyla; Equidae
Description: lncRNA (ENSECAG00000046872.1)
Source: RNAcentral
GGGAGAAGGAACGUCAGCCCGGGAAGGGAGCGUGAGGCCUGUGCCUCUCCCUGAAGGUGUGCCAGAAGCUUGGCAAAAGAAAUCCCAUAUAGAAACAGUGGGAGCCUGGAGAUUGUCGGGGGAGAGUGAGGUCAUUGGAGAACCAUGAGUACUACUGAAGAAAGUAUAGAGCCGUGUUGAUUGGUGCCAUCUCACAUUUCUCUCUUUCACUCUCAGCUGGUGUGGGUGAGUCUUCAACACUCCAUUACAAAUUAUAGUCACCGUAUUCAUUCCUGGUGGGAGUCACUUUUCAUUCCUUCAGCAGACCAUCUAAACUUGAAUCCUCUUCUAACGUCCCAUCAUCUUUCUUCCCCCUCAACCUUAACAGAUGGCCUAGCUCUCUAUUUCAGAGAAAAGAGAGGUCCCCAAGUAUGCACAACAGAUAG